RNAcentral lists this ribosomal RNA (991 nucleotides) under uncultured Ascomycota. RNAcentral describes it as "eukaryotic LSU rRNA". It matches the Rfam family "Eukaryotic large subunit ribosomal RNA", at positions 1 to 1006 of the family's 3401-position model. Lineage: Eukaryota; Fungi; Ascomycota. The record is from RNAcentral.
AAGUUGACCUCGGAUCAGGUAGGGAUACCCGCUGAACUUAAGCAUAUCAAUAAGCGGAGGAAAAGAAACCAACAGGGAUUGCCCUAGUAACGGCGAGUGAAGCGGCAACAGCUCAAAUUUGAAAUCUGGCUCUCUUGAGGGUCCGAGUUGUAAUUUGUAGAGGGUGCUUUGGUGUUAGCUGUGGUCUAAGUCCCUUGGAACAGGGCGUCACAGAGGGUGAGAAUCCCGUAUGUGGCCAGCAGCUUCCGCCUUGUAAAGCCCCUUCAACGAGUCGAGUUGUUUGGGAAUGCAGCUCUAAAUGGGAGGUAAAUUUCUUCUAAAGCUAAAUAUUGGCCAGAGACCGAUAGCGCACAAGUAGAGUGAUCGAAAGAUGAAAAGCACUUUGGAAAGAGAGUCAAAAAGCACGUGAAAUUGUUGAAAGGGAAGCGUUUGCAGCCAGACUUGCUCGUAGUUGCUCACCUAGACCUCGUGUCUGGGGCACUCUUCUGCGGGCAGGCCAGCAUCAGUUCAGGCGGUCGGAUAAAGGUUUUGGGAAUGUGGCUCCUCUCGGGGAGUGUUAUAGCCCAAGGCGUCAUGCGGCCAGCUUGGACCGAGGUCCGCGCUUUUGCUAGGAUGCUGGCGUAAUGGCUGUAAGCGGCCCGUCUUGAAACACGGACCAAGGAGUCUAACAUCUAUGCGAGUGUUUGGGUGUCAAGCCCGAGCGCGUAAUGAAAGUGAACGGAGGUGGGAACCCUUUGGGGUGCACCAUCGACCGAUCCUGAUGUCUUCGGAUGGAUUUGAGUAAGAGCAUAGCUGUUGGGACCCGAAAGAUGGUGAACUAUGCCUGAAUAGGGUGAAGCCAGAGGAAACUCUGGUGGAGGCUCGCAGCGGUUCUGACGUGCAAAUCGAUCGUCAAAUUUGGGCAUAGGGGCGAAAGACUAAUCGAACUAUCUAGUAGCUGGUUCCUGCCGAAGUUUCCCUCAGGAUAGCAGUAACGUCUUCAGUUUUUAUG